This 307-nucleotide long non-coding RNA is filed under the name Equus caballus (horse). Its description in RNAcentral is "lncRNA (ENSECAG00000044803.1)". Lineage: Eukaryota; Metazoa; Chordata; Mammalia; Perissodactyla; Equidae. The record is from RNAcentral.
GAACAGUGUCCUCUACAAGAUGACACCUGAGACUGCCGUGGUGCCUGCUUGUGGUCACUUCUGGGCUGGGCCUGGAGCGGGCAGGGGUUGAGGACCCCAAAGGCCUCCUUGGCUGGGAGGAAUGUCAAGGCCUGGCCCCUCCUCCAUCACACUGGAGGAACACAGAGGACAGGGAUGGCUUCUCCCAGGGCGUGCAGGACUCUGUCCCCGAGCUGAGUACUGAAGACCGUUUGCUGCCUGGGAAAGAGGAGACAGCUGCUUCCAGCCACAGAGAGCCGGGUAGGUCACGGUUACUCAGUUGCCGAAU